AUGAGGUCGAAGUCUCAAUUUUAAGGUUUAUCCACUGCUCCACCCUUCACACUGCUUUACGGUAAAAAUAAUAUUUAAACCGACAACAUUGUGAUACAGUAAUAAAUAUUUUAGAACACCAUCACCAGAAACUAGAUGGCGAUGAUGUCGCCAACCUCGAAUCCUUUCCAUUAGUCGACAGUAUGAUUUGCCUUUUUGUGUUCUGAUAGAUCCUAAAAUAUCGUUAAUGACUUAUAAUAAUGAAUCUAUCGUACAAACAAUGCUUUAGUACAUAAAGAUAUCUGCAGUUUUUAGGAAAAGUCCAAUAUUUCCAGAAAUCAUAUCAACGAAGCUAACUAACGAAUUUAAAACAAUAUAUUUCAUUUCAAUCUAUGGGCCGGUAACCACUUAACAUCAAGUGGGCCGUGAGCUCAUCCACUCACUUGUAAUAAAAAAAUUGAGGUACUCAUAACUAGAUGGCAUUAGUUUAUCAGAACAAAUAAUACAAUAAUAGGUGUAUUUUUUAUGAUCAUAUUACGUAUUCAAAAUGGCUUACUAUACAUAGCUGAAUUGUUAUGUAGAAACUAAAUUAAAAAUAAAAACCUUCUCGUAUUAAUAUACCUAAUGAGUAAUAUGUAUAGAAUCAGCUAUUAACAACAAAUCAUUAUUUAAUGUGGCUUUAUAAUAUGUUGCCACAAUUUUACUGAGAUAUUAUUUCAGCGCCCUGAUUUGUAUUCGUUUCAUUCCAUUUGUUUUCAUUCAUUUUAUACCUAUUGAUUUAAAUUUAAAUUAAUGAACUGUUUUUCCCGCUCCCUUUCAUUUUUCAAAUGAGAAAGUAGAUCGUUGAAUACUAUAUAAGCUCGACGCGGGAAAUAGUGGCAUCGCAAGAAGCCGAUAGCUAUAUUGACUCUCCUGAUUAGACUCAUGCAGUAGCCAGUCAUGUUCGACACCUUACAAACGUUUUAACGGAACUUGAUCUGAAACUAAUCUAGUCUUAGUGCUUCUGCAAACUACUGGUAACAGCAUCCAAAGAACAGAUCAGAAGAACAAAUCCCACCCCUUCAGGCUGAGCCCGUGCUCGCCCACCUUUCCUGUUGAAGAUGAAAAUGUCUUUGAGACAGCAAAAAACACCUUUAUCCAAAAGUCAUUAUGAAAAAAAAGAAUUGAUGUUAAAAACAAUCAUUGACGAUUUUGAAAAUUAGUUAUCAUACACACUGUAGAUAGGUUUUAUAGGUAUUUCAUUGUUCGUAGUCAUGAUUUUAAUUUAAAGACUGAACAAAACUAUCCGUUUGGCUAGUAUUUGAUAGUUCGUGCCUCAAUAACAGUGGAACCAGUGGCAGCAUUAUUAAAGAUUAAUACUAAAUUAAAUUUAUAUUUGACACUGGACACUGAAUUCUGAUCGCCAUAGUCCAAAAAGAAGAAAAACAUCUCAAGAUAAUUGUCGAGUAAAGUGCAACUUAAAAGUUUCUCAAAUAAAAAUUAUAUCUGUCUAUUGCCAAACUAAAAAAAAAGGAUUUUUAGACACAUUUAUUGUCCUCUCAUAUUGCUAUCACGUUUAACCUAAUUAGAACCAUUCUUAUUUUCUUAUUUGUUAUAAUAUAUGCUAGUCACCGUUUUAGAGAAUGUAUAUUAGGAAUUUACGUAUUGUAAUUACACAGUUGGUUAGUGGAAAGGUGUGACGGCAGAACGGUUGAUUAACACGAUUAUGUAACACCGCACAGUCGCACAAGGCACCAAGUUCCGGUAACAGCCGGAUGCUCCCUUCACUUUCGAAGAUUGAAACGAUAUUUAGACUAUUUCGGCUCAGCCUGAAUGAACCAAGUAUUGCUUAGACAAAAAUAUUUAGUCAAUUAAUAGAACAACACAGCAAUGAAAAUGGCAUUUUUAGUCCGUUAAAUAACAUUUUAUAAUUCAUUAUUUUCCUGCGCCUUAACUCAUCGAUGUCCUGGAGCUCGGUCUACACAACAAGAAAUACAAACUAAAAUGUAAUAUUUAAUGCCUUUGCAAAUUCCUUAAUACUUAUGUAAUCCAAGAAUUCUAGUGAUAAAUACAUUAUUAUUUUGUCAACUAUCAAUUUUAUACGAUAUGAUACCACGAGCGCAUUUAUCUAUAGGCCAUUUAAAUAUGAUAAUGGGCUUUGGAGGCAGUUCCGUGAGUCACCUCGAGCGUGACGUCACCAGCAUACUCAUAAAUUCGGGUGUCGGCGUCCGCAUACCGUCGGCGGCCGCGCGGCUGUUAUAUAAAAGAAAGUGGCGCGGUCGCGAGGCGACCUUGCUCGGUGAAAGGCGUGGUGCAAGUGGCACAGCCGGAACUCACUCUUCCCACGGAUCAAGAUCCCGCGCCUCUCGCCCGCCGCCAUGCCGUUAUGCGCCCGCGCAACUUUCGGUAACCGGUUGAGAAUUAGCGAAAAAUGCAACUGUCGCACUUGGACCGGUGCCAGCAAACAAUAUUUAGAACGCGGACAUAAAACAUGGUGUGCGGCAGCGGAACACAGACAACGUCGCGAGGCGCGUGCUGCGGCCGCGAACCCGGAUGCGCCUGACGUAACGCAGCCUUCGCCUCCUCCCUCGCCCCCGCGCUGUCUGCAGCCCCCUCCCGAUCCUACGCUUGUCUGGCUCACUGUCUAUACCGGCCUAUACACUGUUCUUAAAUUUCUCAGUUAUUAUAUAUCUGAGAUUAAUAAGAUUGAGCGAAAUGAGAAUUCUUCAUUUAAAAGCAACUAUCCUAUGGGCUGUAAGAUUAUCUAUCUCUCGAUAGUAUAAGUACCAAAUAAAAUUUCGUUUUAAAAA
This is a long non-coding RNA of Bombyx mori (domestic silkworm), 2768 nucleotides long. RefSeq lists it as uncharacterized. The transcript has 2 exons. Lineage: Eukaryota; Metazoa; Arthropoda; Insecta; Lepidoptera; Bombycidae. The record is from RefSeq and is a predicted model, not a curated record.